GGUAUUGAACUGCACUAAUAUGACAAACACUGAUACGCCCUCAACUGAGUCAUUCUCAAAACAGGCAUACUCUUUUAUUACUUUAUUCUUGUUUUUAUUUUUAUUUUUAAAUCAGAUGGUGCUGAACCACUGAGCUACACCCUCUUUUAAAUUUUAAUUUUAUGACAGUGUCUCACAAAUUUCACAGGCUGGCUUGAACUUGCCAUCCUCCUGCCUCAGCCUGCCGAGUAGAUGGGUUGAUAGGAAUAUACCACCAAUCUGGCUCACACACAUGUACACUUGAAACUUAAUUUUUGUUCAGCAUUAUAUUGUGAAUAUUUCCAUGUUGUGAGGAAGUAUUACAGUAAAUUAUCUCCAGAUUACAUGAAAAAGAUCAAAGAUUCCAAACUUUGAAAGAAUACUAAAGUGGUGACUAUAGAACUAAUUAGUUCAGUCUUUUGUCACAUUUGUUUUAGAAUGAACAAAUUAUAGUUAUAUAAUUCUUGCUGACACCCUAGAAAAUCAAUCAUUGUGACAUUCAUUCCUAAGUAAAUCAGUGCUUAUCUCUUAUAAAAUGACAUUCUUCUUUCAACACCAAUAUUGUUAUGACACUAAGGAAAAUUGCUGUAUCCUUCUAAUAUUAGCCAAUGUCAAAUGGUAUAAAAUUUGCCUAAUUACAACUCUCCUCAGUUAGGAAUGAAUCAUGGACAGCCUAGCCAACCUACACUCUCAGACCCUCCACCGAAUCUACAGAGGACAAGAAAGGUUCCACAUAGCACCAAGACCCAACAACACCAAACACAUCUCCAUUCACAGAGAAAAGGCCCAGACCCACCUGUUCCCACACCUACCCCUCGUGCAGCCCAGCUGUCUGUCCUGAAUCCACCAGGACUAACCUCUUGUGUCCUUUCCCUGUCAGGUUAGUCAUGCUAGGUCUCCUUCAAUGUCCUGUAGUGUUAUCCUCAUGAGGCUCUGCAUAUUCCUGUCCUGUCUCUUCUCCUGCCAUCUCCCCAACUCCUGGAAUCUUUCCAAGUCACCCCUUGGAAUCUCAGCUUAUAAAAAACAAACCUGCAAAGUUCUCUCAGGACGUCCUUGCCUCCCAGAUCUAACAUAAAUGUGGUUUCCAGGAGAACAUGGGACCUCUGAAAUCUCUUCUCAUUGGGGUUUCCCUGAGGACCAUGUACAGCAUCUGGGGUGGGGUCCUUCCUCCACACUGAGGUUCUCAGAUCUUUCAGCUCCCUCUUCUCAACAUCCACUAGUCUUCCCAAUAUCCACUGCCUACCAACUCUCCUCAUGGUGGGCACUCCCAGGCCCCCCAGUCAAUUUCCCCAUCUCUGCACUCUUGGCUUCUCCUUGUUCCUCACCCUCUCAGAAAUGCUAUCUCCUUACUCCUCACUGAUUUCAACACAAGAAGAUGUGGGGACUGAAGAAUGGUCCCUAUAGAUGCUCACACCCUAAUCUUAGAAGAGUGAGGAUGUUGUAUUAUAUGGCAAAGGGGACAUUACUGAUGAAACUGAGGUGACAAUGUGAAAAUGGGGAGAUUGUAUUGGAUACUCUGGGUCACCCAAUCAAAUCACAGUAAGACUUCCAAGCUGUGACCCUUCUCUGGCUGGAGUCAGAGAGACACUACAAGAGACGCAGGUGGAGGAGAUGUAGCAGAGGGGACUUCAGAGGUUCCAGUGGAAGAAGGAUAAGAUGUGCUGUAGGGGGCACAUAUGGACCUGAGAGAGGGCUCCAGGAGCUAAAAGUGGUACCUGAAUGACGGUUAGCAAGGAGAUAGGGACUUAAUUUUCAAACAACUUUAUUGAUCCUGGAAGCAGAUUCCUUAUCAAAGCCUCCAGUAAGGAACAAAGACCUGCUGUCACCUUGGCUUUAGCUCUGUGAGCCCCGCAGGGGACUUGGAACCUACAUAACAGGAGGUCAUAAAUGGAGCUACAUAAAACCACUUGGGUUGUGGUAAUUUCUGUGGCUCUGUGACCUCUGUUUAGACUGGGAAAACUGAUGUCCACCCCUCAGCAGGUGGUCAUGACAUAGAUGCUCAAGAAGACAAUGGAGGAUGAGGCUGAGGGAAGAGGGCGUGUGGAAUAGAGAGAUUCUGUGAGGUCACAAGCCCCCUCAGAGAGUGAAAUUCCAAAUGUCCAAGAGGACACUUUCACUAAAGCUCACAGGAAUAUGCUGGUGACAAGGGCCUGCUUCACUAAAAAGGUGGGUAUUUUCCUAUUCAAGCUGGAAUGAGGGUGGGGAAGGGGCUCAUUCAUAUUCAUAGGGAGGGUUUGGUCCUGAAAGGUCAGAAGAUCAAGUAGUGACAGUUAAUCAGCACUGACCAGAGACCAUGCCCACCACAGCAACCCCAGAGCAGCAGUCAGGGGUGCUCUGAUCUGCAAGGGGCUGUGGAAAUUUGUGGAAUUUUAUGUCCCUAGGGUCAAACAGAUAGGUGUCAGACAGACGACCAGUAAGCACCCUUCUCAAUAUCAGCAAUAAACAUAAAACUGUGGAGCAGGAGGCUGAAAGUGUUUGAACCAAUAAGUCUUGAUUCCAUUCUCAAUUCUGAGCCAAUUUUCAGAUUCAGAACCCAGUGACUGAAGAUGUGUCCACAUCAAGGGAAGAAAGAACCUAGGACACCAUGACAAGGACAUGUGACCAUGAUUCCCUCAGUCCUUCUGCCAAGGAAUCAUCAUUAUAUCAGGAGACUUCAUGAAGAGAGAGAAACAGGCAGGAGGCUGGGGAGUGUCAUGCACUGGGAUUGAGUAGACACCAACACCCACAUACCCACAGCCUCACCAUCCCUCCCUCUGUGAUGCAGUGUUAAGAGUCUGGACUGGAUGCACAUCCCAUAGAAUAUGAAGUCAGUUCAUUUCAUCCCACAUCAUGCUGCCUGGGAUGGAUGAGCAAGAGGGGGAAAGUGCCCUGGAGCUCUUGAUGAGGCACACGCACCUCAGAAAGUGGAAGAUAAAAUGUUCAGAGAUUCAGGAGUGGCCCCUUCAUUGUGAUUACACGUCCAGCUGUUAAAGACAAGCAGAGAUGUCCCCUCCAUGGUACUGGACCAGCUGCUGCACCUGGCACCUCUCACUGCAGGGAAGGAAGCAGGCAGCCUGCAACUCUUUGGGUUCUGACAACAUCACCUUCUACACUGAGGCACAAUGUUUGUGCCAUAUAUUUGGUGACAUAAUAGGCCAGCUUCAUGUGGAACCUGGACAGGAAUGGACACUAUUAUAGUUCUAGGCCAUGAUGGUAUCAGGCACCACCCCUCAGACUCCACUGCUAUGGGGGUAUCAGUGGUGUGAGAGGUGCAGGAUGGAGCUGACCCAAGCACAGGGUGAGAAACACUAUCAAGGGCCCUGGAGUCUGAGGGAGGCCAUACCUUCCACACCCAGAAAUGUGCCCCUCUCAGUAAUGAGCUUUUGUGAGUUACUAGGCCUGGUGAAGUUUGACCAUGGGACACUAAAGAACACUGGAGUGAUGAUAGCCAACAUGGACUGGGCUCUGUGGAGCUCACUACGUCACAACCUGGACAUGGAAAUGGCACAUCUGAGCUUGAGCCUGAAUCACAUGCAGAAAACCAUCACACUGAAGUGGCUAUGAACAGCCAAGUAGACAAAUGGACAGGAUCCAACUGUUAUAAUUUGGGUCUUGAGUGUCCUAAAGGCACAUGAGUUACAGACUUGUUCCCCUGGUGGAACCUCCAGGAUGUAGAUCCUACUGGAAGGAAAUGAAGACCCUGGGUGUGUGUCAUUGAAGGGGAUGUUGGGAUCUGGCCCCUUCCUGUCUUUCUUUUUGCUUUCUAGCUGCCAUGAGGGGAUCAGCUUCCUCUGCUAGGGGCUCCCCAUGUUCAUGUUCUCUCUCACAACAGGUCCCAAAGCAACAGAGCCUUCUGACCAGGGACUGAAAGUUUUGAAAUAGUGAGCCCAAAUAAACCUUUCCUCCUUUUAAGUUGGUUGUCUC
Molecule: long non-coding RNA, 3921 nt
Filed under: Marmota monax (woodchuck)
Lineage: Eukaryota; Metazoa; Chordata; Mammalia; Rodentia; Sciuridae
Source: RNAcentral